ACACGUUCAUAUUCCAAACGGAAACAUCUUUUUUUGAAAAUGUCGUUUAUUGUAAUUUUUACACCAUGUAACAUUGCAUAUCUAGCAAUGAAAGUAAGCAUUCAUUUAACAUGUAAAGUUCAAUCAGAAAAUGAAAACAGUUUAACGAUACAUAUAAUUUACGAAUGUUUCUUUAUCGUGUUUCUAAUAUUUCAAAUGAUUUUUUUGUGUAUGUCUUCAGGGAAAAAUUUGUACCGAUCUUGUCUUACGCAUUAUGCUGCUACAAUAGUUAUAGCAUCAAAUGUAGCAAUUGCUUUCUAUAAUUCUGUUAAAAACCACUUUGAAGAAGUUUUACACCAUAAUGACAAACUCGAAUGUUCAAACCAAACAACUGCAUCAUUAGUAUACGAAUCUACAAAAUUGUACCUAGAACCUACAGUGAUUGAAAACUCUCUUCUAUGCAUACUUGUACUCAAAGAAAUAUUUACCCGAAGCCAGGAUAAUGAAGCAGACAAUGAAAUAACAGCACCCACUUAUUACAUUAAGCAUAAAAUAUUGUGUAUAUUUUUAUUAUCUAUAGCUUUUAUUUUUCCAUAUUUUUUACUCAAAAUAUUGCUUUUUAAAAAUAGAAAUAUCAGUAACAAUUUCUACCUUUUUCAAGCAUGCGCAUAUGCAAUCGUCAAGUUAGUUAUGUAUUUAGUGUUGAUUAAAUGUUUUCACCUUCUUGCUGUGAAAGGUACUUAUUACUCAAAAUCAACUGAAACACCUCUUAAAUUAAGUCAUUACUUGAUUUUAUUCAGUGCUUUUGGAUCAGAAAUAUUUUUUGGAAUCAAUUUUGUAGCAGCAGUCAGUGUAACGGGAAAAGAAAGUUUUGCAGUAAACAAUAUUUUACAGUUCAUAACUACCUAUGUACAGACUGUUUUAAUCCUGCAGAUGAAAGAUUAUAAGACAAUAGAUGACCGUCAAAAUGCAAUUUCGAUAUCAGGAACUUUUUUAUUCCUGUCCUUUGUUAAUUUUGGUCUCUGGUUGUACGACACGUUCCUUGCAACUGUAAAUUUUGAUAAACAUUAUUAUACAGCCCAAUAUUAUGGAUUCACAACAACGAUGACACUAAGACAUUUGUUUGUUCCUAUUUUGAUAUUCUAUCGUUUUAAAUGUUUCAUUUCUUUCUUUGAACUAUCUGCCUUUACACCGUCAUUCGUAGAACGGUUUCUUUUUUUUCUGGACAAAGUUAGCUGGAGAAUGAGUUUUCGAAGACGUCAAAAUUAUGAGCAAAUAUAACAAUUGCUAUUUGGUCAUACAUGUAUAGCUCGUAAACUGCUUUUGGUUAUAUAUUGGUCAAGUAUUGUUUCAACUGUAUCCGACAAUGAAUUCAUUGAAAGGUCAUAUCUAUAAAUUAGCUGUUUACUCAGUUUAAGCCUGUAACCCGGAUUUGUUUUUUUCUCAAUCGAUUUGUGAAUUUUGAACAGCAGUAUACUACUGUGACCUUUAUUUACAUGGCUUUGAAUUUAUUAAAUACUUAGGCUUUCAUACCUCAAGAACAGAUUAUAGCCCUUGGAUAGUGUAAAAUUCCCCACCCUCCCCGCAAAAUAAAACCAAACUUGUGUAUGGUGUAAAGGCGUAUGACAUAUGGUGCAUUGGUAGAAGGUGUAUGGUGAUAUGGUGUAAGGAGGAUGGUGUAAUGGUGUGUGAAGAAUGGUGCGAUUGUGUAACUUGUAUAUAAAGUGUGAUUAUCAAAGUGUAGAACUAUGCAAAUCAUUGAAUAGAACUGAUUUUUAAUUUUGUACAUUAAUUUACAUUAUUGUGAUCAAAAUUCGUUUUUUUUUUAAAUAAAUAAAUAAAUAUGUAGUCACACGAUUUCUUUGAAACAAAAUUGCAUUAUGGGUUAUUUCGGAUGUGUAGAUAGAAUGUGUACAUUUGUAAGGUGUAUGGUCCUAAGGUGUUAAAUUUAUGUUGUUAUGGUACAGGGUGUAUAGUGUAAUGGUGUGUGCUCAAAUAUAAAUUUCAAUCCUAGUAUAUAUGAUGAAUUUAUUUUCAUAGUUUCCAUUCGGUAUUGAAAAUAAAAAAAAAUCUCUCUGUUCC
Molecule: long non-coding RNA, 2061 nt
Filed under: Mytilus galloprovincialis (Mediterranean mussel)
Lineage: Eukaryota; Metazoa; Mollusca; Bivalvia; Mytilida; Mytilidae
Source: RNAcentral